RNAcentral lists this long non-coding RNA (277 nucleotides) under Salvia miltiorrhiza (redroot sage). Its description in RNAcentral is "long non-coding RNA (SMIL_LNC007234)". Lineage: Eukaryota; Viridiplantae; Streptophyta; Magnoliopsida; Lamiales; Lamiaceae. The record is from RNAcentral.
UCGGCGAGCUUGGGCGGCGGCGGUUUUCGUUGGUGGAGGAGCGGAUUUUGAGAAGCAGAGAGAGGGGUUUUGUGUGUGUGCGUCUGAGUGCGAGAGAAGGCGGAUCAAGGGAGAGGGUGACCGGAGGCGGCGGCGCUUCGCCGUCGCCAAGAGGGAGAUCGGAGGCGGUGCUCUUCGCCGGAGAAGAGGGUGGCGCCGCACCAAACUCUGGUGUGUGCGUGUGUUUGAUAAAGGGGAAGAGGAAGAAGGAUUAAGAGGAAUAGGGUUGGGGUGUGUU